UGCGCAGGCGGCUUUGUAAGUCAGAUGUGAAAUCCCCGGGCUUAACCUGGGAAUUGCGUUUGAAACUACAAGGCUAGAGUGUAGCAGAGGGGGGUGGAAUUCCAUGUGUAGCAGUGAAAUGCGUAGAGAUAUGGAAGAACAUCGAUGGCGAAGGCAGCCCCCUGGGUUAACACUGACGCUCAUGCACGAAAGCGUGGGGAGCAAACA
This 207-nucleotide ribosomal RNA is filed under the name uncultured bacterium. RNAcentral's name for it is "partial 16S ribosomal RNA". It matches the Rfam family "Bacterial small subunit ribosomal RNA", at positions 568 to 774 of the family's 1533-position model. The record is from RNAcentral.